AUUUGCCCCCAGCCAUUCCUCUCCCGGCUUAUGUGGCUAGACUCACCUGCCUGUGCUGCAGUUACUCCAGGCUUUGUGUAAAUGUGCAUUUUUUUCCAGCCCCCAGUUUAUCAAGCUUUGCUUGAGUCACUUGUAUCUGAAAUACCAUCUGUCACUCUUCCAGGUUGGGAUCUGUCUAGUGGAAAACAGAUGACAGUCAUAUGUUACUUAGUGCUUUACUAUGUGGAGAACGUUUACAUAAAUUAUCUUAUUUCAUUGCCACUAAGCCGGGGAAAGAUUCAGGAAACCCAUUUUAAGAUGAGGACACUGAGGUCAGGGUAAGUGAGUGAGCUUUUACCCACCUCUCAGCUGCUCUCUAGUUGUCAAAGACCAACCCGUGGGGGUGGCUCAGGCCCGACCCCUGCAGCAUAUUCCUUGGGGCCUCCCAAGUGGGCCCGAUCUGCUCACCCCAGCUGUGACUGUCUUUUGACAGGAGGAGGGAGCAGCGAGGCUGCACCCACUGCUCAUAAAAAGCAGAGCUUGUCCACGCCGAGGGCUCGGCUGGGUGGGAGCCUCCCCGCGCCAGGUUCCUGGCCGGGCAGUCCGGGGCCGGCGGGCUCACCUGCGUCGGGAGGAAGCGCGGCGGGGCCGGGGCGGGGGUCUCGGCGUUGGGGUCUCUGCGCUGGGGCUCCUGCGCU
This 677-nucleotide long non-coding RNA is filed under the name Homo sapiens (human). RNAcentral's name for it is "non-protein coding lnc-ZMYM2-9:1". Lineage: Eukaryota; Metazoa; Chordata; Mammalia; Primates; Hominidae. The record is from RNAcentral.